This is a long non-coding RNA of Austrofundulus limnaeus, 922 nucleotides long. RefSeq lists it as uncharacterized. The record is from RefSeq and is a predicted model, not a curated record. Lineage: Eukaryota; Metazoa; Chordata; Actinopteri; Cyprinodontiformes; Rivulidae. The transcript has 2 exons.
AAUUUACUGAACUAACCUAAAAUUACAGGACUUAAUACAAACAUUGCAGACUAAAACUACAAGACUUAAUUGAGUCUUAGUUUAAAAGCUUGACAAGUGAUCUCUCUAAAUGUGACUUAUUUCUGAAUGUUUCAUCAAACUUUUAAGUUAUUCAUGAGAUAUUUUGCUAAACAGACAGUCUACCUUCAAUAGUGCUCAAUGAAAACGGACAAUUCUCACAUCUCAUUUGUCUGAGUUUUGGUUUGUAAGCUUUUAGCAGAAAUUACGCUUUCUCUCAUUACCUCUCAGAUUUUUGCUAAAACCAGAUCAACAUCCGAAGCACUCUAAAUAUUUUUCUCCUUUAAAACCAUGUCAGAAUGACACAAACUGCCCUGGAGCUGACAAAUGUUGUUUACUUGAUUACAUAUCUGYUUGUGCUUCUCCUAUUCAAAAGGAGAGAUACAAUAUUMAACUAAGUUUAUAAUAACGAGUGUGUUCAAUCCAUUUAAAUUAAAAUGUUAAAGCAAUCAGUGUUUAUCUCAAAGCUCAUAUUUGUCUGACUGCAUAAAUAAUUGUUUUCUCAUUUUCCUCAGCAGRUCGUGAGUGUCCACCUCCAUGGGUUUGGCAAUGUGGAUAUCAGUGCUCUUGGGAUAGAUUCUGCAUAGAUGGUAAAUGCUGUUAUAAUAUAUGUGGUUCCAGAUGCAUACCACUAAUAGGCCCAAGAGAUUAGCCAAAUCUUUGUGGAAAACAUGUGUUCAUUCCUCAUUGUCAUGAUGGUAAUGAUGGUGAAUGCAGCUGCAACAAGAAGUGCUCUCUAAACAGAUGUGAAGACACCUGUAAACAAUGUUUUUUUUUCUUUUCUUAAAAACACCAAAAUGAGAUGCAUCCUACAGUCCAGUAUGCUUUUCUUUGGUUUCUUUAAUAAAUUCAUAAUGAUAAAAAA